UACGAAGGGUGCAAGCGUUAGUCGGAAUUACUGGGCGUAAAGCGUGCGUAGGCGGUCUCUUAAGUCCGUUGUGAAAGCCCUGGGCUCAACCUGGGAACUGCAGUGGAUACUGAGAAGCUAGAGUGUGUCAGAGGAUGGUGGAAUUCCCGGUGUAGCGGUGAAAUGCGUAGAGAUCCGGAGGAACACCAAAGGCGAAGGCAGUGUCCUGGGGAGUACCUGACGCUCAGGUGCGAAAGCCAGGGGAGCGAACGGG
RNAcentral lists this ribosomal RNA (253 nucleotides) under uncultured bacterium. RNAcentral describes it as "partial 16S ribosomal RNA". It matches the Rfam family "Bacterial small subunit ribosomal RNA", at positions 524 to 776 of the family's 1533-position model. The record is from RNAcentral.